RNAcentral lists this unclassified non-coding RNA (404 nucleotides) under soil metagenome. Its description in RNAcentral is "partial contains 5.8S ribosomal RNA, internal transcribed spacer 2, and large subunit ribosomal RNA". The stretch from base 1 to 120 matches the Rfam family "5.8S ribosomal RNA", at positions 35 to 154 of the family's 154-position model. The record is from RNAcentral.
GAUGAAGAACGCAGCGAAAUGCGAUAAGUAAUGUGAAUUGCAGAAUUCAGUGAAUCAGCGAAUCUUUGAACGCACCUUGCGCUCCUUGGUAUUCCUUGGAGCAUGCCUGUUUGAGUAUCAUGAAAUCCUCAAAAUAUAUCUUUCGUUCAUUCGAUUGGUUUUAUUUUGGACUUGGAGGUCUGCAGAUUCACGUCUGCUCCUCUCAAAUGCAUUAGCUGGAUCUCAGUGAGCUCGGUUCCACUCGGCGUGAUAAGUAUCACUCGCUGAGGACACUGUAAAAAGUGGCCGGGAUUGCAGAUGAACCGCUUCUAAUCGUCUAUUAGCUUAGACAAUUAAAUCUUAUGAUCUGAUCUCAAAUCAGGUAGGACUACCCGCUGAACUUAAGCAUAUCAAUAAUCGGAGGA